AGCAGCCGCGGUAAUUCCAGCUCCAAUAGCGUAUAUUAAAGUUGUUGCAGCUAAAAAGCUCGUAGUUGAAUUUCGGGAUUGACACGUCGGUCGUGCCCUAAGGGGUAUGAACUGGCGUAGUCAAUUUCUCACCUUCUGGAGAACCGCGCUGUCCUUAAUUGGGUGACGCGGGGAACCAGGACCUUUACUUUGAAAAAUUAGAGUGUUUAAAGCAGGCAUUUUGCUUGAAUACAUUAGCAUGGAAUAAUAAAAUAGGACGGCAUGAUUCUAUUUUGUUGGUUUCUAGGAUCACCGUAAUGAUUAAUAGGGAUAGUUGGGGCAUUAGUAUUCAAUUGUCAGAGGUGAAAUUCUUGGAUUUAUUGAAGACUAACUACUGCGAAAGCAUUUGCCAAGGAUGUUUUCAUUAAUACAAGAACGAAAGUUAGGGGAUCGAAGACGAUCAGAUACCGU
RNAcentral lists this ribosomal RNA (450 nucleotides) under uncultured Glomeromycotina. RNAcentral's name for it is "SSU rRNA". It matches the Rfam family "Eukaryotic small subunit ribosomal RNA", at positions 569 to 1018 of the family's 1831-position model. The record is from RNAcentral. Lineage: Eukaryota; Fungi; Glomeromycota.